Molecule: transfer RNA, 74 nt
Filed under: Monoraphidium minutum
Lineage: Eukaryota; Viridiplantae; Chlorophyta; Chlorophyceae; Sphaeropleales; Selenastraceae
Description: tRNA-Arg
Rfam family: tRNA
About the family: Transfer RNA (tRNA) molecules are approximately 80 nucleotides in length.
Source: RNAcentral
GCCCGCGUGGCGCAAUUGGAUAGCGCGUGGCUUUCCUAAGGCCAAGGUUGUGGGUUCGAUCCCCAUCGUGGGUG